GAUAAUGAAAUCAAAAGGAACGCAAUUCCAUUUGUUCCUGUUGCCUCUUGAUGACAAAAGUGAUGCAGCACCAACGUGUGGGUUCAGCUGUGAAGCCCAACCAGCAUGGCAGGUUCCAGGCAGAGCAGAUGGCCUCCUGCCAAGUGCAGAGCUGCCGGUACAGCUGUCAGGAAGUGACAGGGCAUUUGCCAAAGUGGUUGACAACCGAUGAGAGCUCAUGCAUUAAGCCCCUUCCACAGCUUUGAGUGCUGUCACCUUGUGGCAGUGUUUCUGGGAACAGCUCUAACUAGAUAAAUUGCCUGAACUGAGACCUCAGAAGGAGUAAACAGACAAGUCCGAGAGACCCUUCUCCACCUCCUCCACCUUCCUGCACCACAGGUGAAGACAGCCACUCUGGCCACCUACACUGCCUCGCUGCCCGUCCUCCAGGCAGGAGAGCCUUAGCCAGAUGCCUACGUGGAGUCUGGCCUCCAUUUUUAGCACCUGAAGCCAGUGCCAUUUCUACAGGAAUGGUGGAUGCAUUUAUGCUCCUUCACCGUUACCAAAGCCUAGUUAUUCCAAACUCAAGCUUCUAUGCCUCAUAAAGCAGAAGUCGCUUAAGCUGAGAGGUGUAACCAAAGAUUCCACCAAUGGAUCAUACUCCUCUUCCACAGUAUAAAAAUUCUUGCUGAAACCAGAUGUCCAGACGGGAUAUACAAGACCCUGCACCUUUUUAUAUCUAGGUGGUCCAAAUGACUGAGUGCUGGCCAAGGGAAGGUAGGAGCAAUGGAAUUUCCUUGUGGGAGUGGUGCAGACAGUGGCAGAAAGCUCUACUCCUUUCCACAAUUGUAAUUCAGACAUACAGACAUCUAUCUGGCAGACUUGGAUUGGAUGGGAAGCCCAAGAAGGAAUUUACUCUAAGGAGCACUGAAGCCUUCAGAUUUCUGAUGGGCACCAGAGGUCUGGAGGGGAGCGCUGGGCUGAGAGCAGGGCUGAUCCUGAUACUGAAGACUUCCCCAAGCCAGUCACAAGAGAAACUGCUUGUCCUUGAAAAGAAAGAAAGAACAAUAUAU
RNAcentral lists this long non-coding RNA (1052 nucleotides) under Equus caballus (horse). RNAcentral's name for it is "lncRNA (ENSECAG00000050496.1)". Lineage: Eukaryota; Metazoa; Chordata; Mammalia; Perissodactyla; Equidae. The record is from RNAcentral.